UGUUUAAUUACAGUAAAGCAUUAUGAAGGCCCACAAUGGAUGUUGAAGCAAUGUGAUUUCUGCCCAGUGCUCUGAAUGGUUAAGUGAAGAAAUUUAAUGAAGCAUGGAUAAAUGGCAGAAGUAACUAUAACUUUCAUGACAGAGGCAGCUUCUGAAGAGGUGA
Molecule: non-coding RNA, 163 nt
Filed under: Alligator mississippiensis (American alligator)
Lineage: Eukaryota; Metazoa; Chordata; Crocodylia; Alligatoridae
Description: Eukaryotic large subunit ribosomal RNA
Rfam family: Eukaryotic large subunit ribosomal RNA
Source: Rfam by way of RNAcentral